UACCCAGGGCAGGUAUGGAGUGUCUGCUGAGGCGAAGGCACUGCGGCUCCCUGGGGAUACUCGUGGCCUCUCCAGGUUACUAUGGAUGGGGGACAGUGAGUCCUUUGGAUUUAUUGCAGAGUUGAACAACGGAGAAUGUAUGCACAGUGCCAGGCACAGGUGUGGUCAAGAUUCACUUGGGAGAGGAAGUGGGCAGGGGCAGAGGAGUGUGGCCACCUGAGCUGAGAGGCUGCGUGGCAGGUGACCAUUGUUGCCAGUGUCGCCGGCCAGGUCACCUGUCUGAAUUUUGUGGUUGCAACCUCCAUGAUUCCCUAGAGCUGUUUUUACCCAGAACUAAUGAACAAUUCUGCACGUUAAAUUCAUGCUAUUAGAA
This 373-nucleotide non-coding RNA is filed under the name Pongo abelii (Sumatran orangutan). The record is from RNAcentral. Lineage: Eukaryota; Metazoa; Chordata; Mammalia; Primates; Hominidae.